RNAcentral lists this unclassified non-coding RNA (190 nucleotides) under Aconitum gigas. RNAcentral's name for it is "partial miscellaneous RNA". Lineage: Eukaryota; Viridiplantae; Streptophyta; Magnoliopsida; Ranunculales; Ranunculaceae. The record is from RNAcentral.
ACAGCGUCGCACCCCUCCAACAAGGUUUGUUGGGGAGCGGAUAUUGGCCCCCCGGGCCUUGCGGGCACGGUCGGCACAAAUGUUGGUCCCCGACAACGAGCGUCGCGGUCAGUGGUGGUUGUAUUUCUCAUCCUCCAAAGACAUCAAGACGCGUCGUCCUCGUUGCUCGUUGGACGCAUCCACCCUAUGG